UUAACAUGCGAGUAGAAAUUAACGCUUAAUCCCAUUUUUAUUGGGCUUCAGACAUUUUAGUCUUGUCACCUAAAGCCUCGCACUCGGAGGUCCAAAUACACCAAAUCUAAUACGAGUUAGUCUUUUUCUUAACCAUUCAGUCCAAAUCGAUUUUUUCUCAUGACAAAUAUAACCCUACUAAUUCAUUUCAUGUGUUUGCCGAGAGAAAAACCUAAGAACAAAUCUCAAUCUCUACAGGUUUCAUCUGAACCAGCACAGUUGAAAUCUACAAUUCGUAAAUUCGAGUUUAAGAAACCUAAUUCGAUUCAAUCUCCAUAUCCAAAACCAAAGUUUGAGUAUCAAUUACCACUUGAUUCAGCUCGGAAGCCUUAAUCCUAUAUCAUCUAUAUCUGUUGUUGAAGAAUUAUCUUGAAAUUGAUGCGUAAGGUCGAUGAAAUCACCAACAACGAUUGUAAUUCAUCUUAAUUUUCAUCAACAGAAUUGAUUAGAAAGGCUUAAUGGGUGUUGAUGCGAUGCCUGACACGAAUAUUAUUAAUUGGAAAUUUGGAAUACAACCAGUGUUGCUUGUUCUGAUUGCGUGGGUAUUGAGCGGGCACAAAAUCUCCCCUUUCCUAGUUACCAAUUUCACUGUUAAAUGAUAUGCCUAGAAGAACAUACUCAUUUUGCCAGUUAGUGUACAUAAUCAAAAGAUUAUAGUUCUCUUUGACACAACCUUUUUGAAGUUCUCUGGUUGUGAGAGUUCAUGGUAAGGUGCAGUUUAUGAUAAACGUAUAGCCAUUGUGAUUAAUCUGCAUUUAUUUCCAUAUCUCUGCCCCUUCAUAAUAUAUAAAUUGAAUUGGCACAUACAGUAGGGGGUCUUUUAGUUGCUACAUUUGGAAAUGCAACUGAACUGAUAAAAUUAAAAUGUGCGUUAAAAAAUGGAAGGAUGCGCAUUGUACAACAAUCAUUAGUAGGCUCAAUUAUGCCAAACAUGUUGAUGAUGCUUGGAUGUGCAUUCUUUAGUGAUGGUUUUGUUUUCUUCAAGAAAGAACAAAUUUUUAACAAGCUAAGAAUAACCCAUGGUGAGCAUGGUGAAACCUCAGAAUCUUCCCUGCCUCAUUGAUGAAAAUUGGCAUUGCUGGUAGUUGGUGAGUGUAGUGAAACCUCACAACCUUCCCUGACUUAUUAAGGUGGACUUUGAAUUCUCAUGAAAAGGUCUUAAUAGACUUAAAAUACAACGAAUUUAUUUGUCUUGGUUUUAUUGCCAUGGUCUGUGGUGGGGGUUAUGCAAAACAAAGUCCAAAGAGAAUAUAAAACGGAAUUGAAUGAAAUUUCUUAUUCAUAAGGAGGGAAAAUCAUUUUAUUUUGAUUUCUUAAUUAAAGCAAAAUCCUGGAAUUUUUAUUGAUUGUCCCUUCACAAUGCUUUAGAUAAGCUGACUUUUUCAUUUGUAUGGCAAAUUUAAAGUAGUAAAAGAAGAAACUGACUCAUUUCUAAUUUUCCUAGCCCUCAAACAUCUUUGCAAUCUUUCACUAAGAAUAAGUCAGUUGGCUUCUUUUAGAGCUGAACAUUCUGCUUCUUCAGUAAGUACACUUAUACACAUAAUAGCGUACAUUUUUCUGACUCAUUCCUAAUUUCUGUAUAAGUGUGCCUUCUUCAGUAAGUGUACAUUUUUAUACACAUGUGACAGAAAUUGCAUGAGUUUACAUAAUAGCGUACCUUUAAUACAAGUGUACAUAGUUGUGCACUUCUAAUACAAGUGUACAUUAUUGUGCACAUGUGACAAAAAUUACAAGUUGGUGGACAGAUACCGCAUAAGCUUCUUUCUUCCAAUUUGGCGAUUAAAAUUUGAUCUGAAGAUCCAUUCAUUUCCAAAUUUGGGAAUGAGAUUCCUCUAUUGGAUUUGUGGUUUCUUGUUGCGUGUUACUUACAUUGAGAUUCAAAGAUGCUAAUUCUGUAACUGCAUCUGGAAGGAAAUAGCUAGGUGUCGAGUCUGUUAAGUUACCUUAGAGUAUCCAUUGGUUUAACUGGGAGGAUGUUUACAUGUUUUACUAUGUGUUCCAGAAUUAUGUAAUUGCGUCUGGAAGGAAUAUCGGAAGCUGGAUAUGGUUUACCACUAGUUAUUGAAGUUUUGGACAGGACUAGUUAUUGAAGUUUUGUUGCUCUCUUCUACGUGUUACGGGUAAUUGAUGCUAUUGAUGAUACUGAUCUUCCUACAAGAUAUGUGAAUAACACAGGUCUUUCUACAAGAGUUGGAAGGGCUUAAUCCGGACUGGGUCGAUCCUGAUCAGUCAGCUGAAUGAGGCUUUUAUCGUGCAAUGGCUCUUGCUGGUAGUGAAUUUUUAGAGAUAUAAACAACGAGACGCACGGUAAACCAGGGUGGUGGAACGAAAAAUUUAUCAAUGCAGACAUAGACAACAAUGGUCGUCUCAAUUUCACAGAAUUCAAUGAUUUCCUUCCAGUAACCCGAAGACGGUGACAAUGAGGAUAUCCAAACUGAUUGGGUGUAGCACUGGUUAUCAUCCUUCUAUAAGUGUAGAAAUUGGUGCACUUGUAACAAGAUGAGUGCAGGUGAAUGAGCCUGUAUGCACAAGGAUUAUUUCUGUAGGCACCUAAAUUAUCAGGUGCAUUUGAGACACUAGCAGCAGAUAUGCUUCCUACAAGUGAUGAUUUCUGUAUGCACAAGGAUGAGCCUGAUUGGGAUACACCAACGAAUGAAGUCGCUUCCGUAGGUGAUGCAAUUGAAGAUAUCCGUCAAGGCAAGGCAGUUGCACCCAUAGCUCGGAACUGGGUUUGAUCUAGCAUGAUCGAGCUGUCUAUGAUUUAAUUAAAAUUUUAUCUUGGGUAUAUCUUGAAGAUGGCCAUUGUUGUUGAUGACGAAGAUAGAGAAAAUGAAGGAGAUUUAAUAAUGGCAGAAGAGUUGGUGGUUAUUGUUGUGGAUGAUUCCAGUUGAAUGUGGUGUACAAACAAGUGCACCUUGUCUUGUCUUUGGAUUUUCUGAAUCUGUAGAUGUAAAUAUGUUGGUACACUAGUGUAAACUAAGAUUUCUAAAAAAUGAGAAUUAUAUAGUCA
Molecule: long non-coding RNA, 3049 nt
Organism: Papaver somniferum (opium poppy)
Lineage: Eukaryota; Viridiplantae; Streptophyta; Magnoliopsida; Ranunculales; Papaveraceae
Exons: 6
Source: RefSeq, a predicted model, not a curated record